RNAcentral lists this ribosomal RNA (405 nucleotides) under uncultured bacterium. RNAcentral describes it as "bacterial SSU rRNA". It matches the Rfam family "Bacterial small subunit ribosomal RNA", at positions 362 to 758 of the family's 1533-position model. The record is from RNAcentral.
UAUUGCACAAUGGGCGCAAGCCUGAUGCAGCCAUGCCGCGUGUAUGAAGAAGGCCUUCGGGUUGUAAAGUACUUUCAGUUGUGAGGAAGGGUGUGUAGUUAAUAGCUGCACAUCUUGACGUUAGCAACAGAAGAAGCACCGGCUAACUCCGUGCCAGCAGCCGCGGUAAUACGGAGGGUGCGAGCGUUAAUCGGAAUUACUGGGCGUAAAGCGCAUGCAGGUGGUUCAUUAAGUCAGAUGUGAAAGCCCGGGGCUCAACCUCGGAACUGCAUUUGAAACUGGUGAACUAGAGUACUGUAGAGGGGGGGUAGAAUUUCAGGUGUAGCGGUGAAAUGCGUAGAGAUCUGAAGGAAUACCAGUGGCGAAGGCGGCCCCCUGGACAGAUACUGACACUCAGAUGCGAAA